UGCCAGCAGCCGCGGUAAGACGGAGGGUCCUAGCGUUGUUCGGAAUGACUGGGCGUAAAGGGUACGUAGGCGGUUUGGUCAGUUAGAUGUGAAAGCCCAGGGCUCAACCUUGGAACCGCAUUUAAUACUGCCAGACUUGAGAUCGGAAGAGGAAAGCGGAAUUUCUAGUGUAGAGGUGAAAUUCGUAGAUAUUAGAAGGAACACCAGUGGCGAAGGCGGCUAACUGGACUGAUACUGACGCUGAGGUGCGAAAGUGUGGGGAGCAAACAGGAUUAGAUA
This 279-nucleotide ribosomal RNA is filed under the name uncultured bacterium. RNAcentral describes it as "partial 16S ribosomal RNA". It matches the Rfam family "Bacterial small subunit ribosomal RNA", at positions 506 to 784 of the family's 1533-position model. The record is from RNAcentral.